UACAGAGGGGGCAAGCGUUGUUCGGAAUUACUGGGCGUAAAGGGCGCGUAGGCGGCCGCCUAAGUCAGACGUGAGAUCCCUCGGCUCAACCGGGGAACUGCGUCUGAUACUGGGUGGCUUGAAUCCGGGAGAGGGAUGCGGAAUUCCACGUGUAGCAGUGAAAUGCGUAGAUAUGUGGAGGAACACCGAUGGCGAAGGCAGCCCCCUGGGUCAAGACUGACGCUCAUGCACGAAAGCGUGGGGAGCAAACAGG
RNAcentral lists this ribosomal RNA (253 nucleotides) under uncultured bacterium. Its description in RNAcentral is "partial 16S ribosomal RNA". It matches the Rfam family "Bacterial small subunit ribosomal RNA", at positions 524 to 776 of the family's 1533-position model. The record is from RNAcentral.